Molecule: unclassified non-coding RNA, 336 nt
Filed under: Zea mays
Lineage: Eukaryota; Viridiplantae; Streptophyta; Magnoliopsida; Poales; Poaceae
Description: misc RNA Zm00001eb019790
Source: RNAcentral
CUCAGCCGCCGGCCUUCCCCUGCCAGCCGCCGGCCACCUCCGGACGCCGGUUCUUCCUCCUGCCGGCCCAUUCUUCCCUCCCCUCCAUGGAUCCUCCCGCGUCCUCUGCAGGGGCCGCCACCACCACCGCCGUCAGCACAGGCACCGGCCUGCCUCCCCUGCUCGACUCCCUCACCGGCGUGGGUGCGGCCUUUGCGGCCGCUGCCUCCACAGGCGCGGGCUCGGCCCCCCACGCGGAAGCAGGCCGCGCGGCCGUCGCCCCCCACCUCGCCGGCGUGAGCGCCAGCUCCCUGCCUGGCCCACAGGCCGCCGGCGCAGCCACACAGAUCACCGGCG